CUCCUACGGGGAGGCAGCAGUGGGGAAUAUUGCACAAUGGGGGAAACCCUGAUGCAGCCAUGCCGCGUGUGUGAAGAAGGACCUCGGGUUGUAAAGCACUUUCAGUAGGGAGGAAGGUAGUGUAGUUAACACCUGCAUUAUUUGACGUUACCUACAGAAGAAGCACCGGCUAACUCCGUGCCAGCAGCCGCGGUAAUACGGAGGGUGCGAGCGUUAAUCGGAAUUACUGGGCGUAAAGCGCAUGCAGGCGGCCUGUUAAGUCAGAUGUGAAAGACCCGGGGCUUAACCUCGGAAUUGCAUUUGAAACUGGCAGGCUAGAGUCUUGUAGAGGGGGGUAGGAAUUUCAGGUGUAGCGGUGAAAUGCGUAGAGAUCUGAAGGAAUACCAGUGGCGAAGGCGGCCCCCCUGGACAAAGACUGACGCUCAGAUGCGAAAGCGUGGGGAGCAAACAGGAUUAGAUACCCCUGGUAG
This 470-nucleotide ribosomal RNA is filed under the name uncultured bacterium. RNAcentral's name for it is "bacterial SSU rRNA". It matches the Rfam family "Bacterial small subunit ribosomal RNA", at positions 336 to 793 of the family's 1533-position model. The record is from RNAcentral.